RNAcentral lists this long non-coding RNA (1243 nucleotides) under Equus caballus (horse). RNAcentral describes it as "lncRNA (ENSECAG00000050379.1)". Lineage: Eukaryota; Metazoa; Chordata; Mammalia; Perissodactyla; Equidae. The record is from RNAcentral.
GGACUAGAAGCCAAGCUGUGUGGCUGCAGAAUCUGGGCUCUGAAUUAACACACCGGGUACGAGCCCGCGCCCCACUGUCCGGCACCGAGGAGACUAGCUGUCUCUUCUCUCCCAGCUCAGGGCGGGGCUUUACCUAGAGCUGGAGUCAAAACACACACACCGCUAAGGGCCAGGUAUCUGCAUGAGUUAGAAUUCCUUUGUGAAGAUAAAAAGGCUGCUGCAAAAAAUCAUGCUGGCGCUGUGAGCACUGUCAGACUGGAGGCCAUCUCAAAUGAGAUUAAUGAUGUCUGCCAUAAUGUAAGAAGAUUUAGCAUAACCAAGAUGGCGGAUUCUGCGGAAGCCUGCCAGCGCUCAUUUACUUGGAAUAAAUAUUAUUUCUAAUUAAAUUCCUAAGGAGGAAAAAUUGAGUAAAGACAUGAAAACUACUUAACUGGAAAAGGUGAUUAGACAGCAGAGUGGAAUUGAUGAUUUGGUGCCUCCUUUUCCCUGGACCAUCAUUCCGAGAGACCACACACAGUUAUGACAUAAAGUCCAGCUGAAACGUUCAUUCCAGAUCUCUCUGAAUGGGAUACAUUCAGGCUCAGGGAGCCGCUCUUAACUGACGGUGUUGCCUAGGACAGAGAGCUGUGGAGCAGCGGGGACCAGGAAUUCUGAGUGUAGCCACCACUCGCUCACUUCACAUUUGACACAUACGCAGGUAAAGCUAUUGCUGUUACUGCGUUUCAUAAUUUCAUAAAAAGGCUGCUUAUCAAGUAGCCUUUGGAGCGCUGGAAAAGAGAAUGUGCCACUCAAUAGUCUUCCAUGAAACUGUUCUCUGAAUUAACAGAAAUCUGAAGGGUAGAUGUGCUAUGUAUCUAGAUUUCUUCAGGAUUUUACUAUAUUUUUAACGGAAAUAUUAUGCUUCAUAAUUAUCAGAAUAUUUUCUGCUAUAACGAGCUGAAAUACUACAUUUCCCAAUUUCUCUUGCAACAGGAGAGCAGUCAUUUGACUAAGUUCUAAAGGGAGGGUAUAAACUUCCAAGUCUCCUUUACUUUUAACUUCUGACUCUUCUUAAAAGAGAGGGAGUACAUCCUUCAUGCUGCCUGGAAUGUGGGCAUGUGGAAUGUGAGCAUGAUGGCUAGAGCUUCAGCAGCCAUUAUGAACCAUGUGGCGGAAGCCACCAGCUGAGGAUAGUGGAAUGAGAGCCUGGGUCCCUGACCUGUGAAUCUACCACAGCUGUCUUUACAUGUCAUUCACUUGAGAG